GACGAACGCUGGCGGCGUGCUUAACACAUGCAAGUCGAACGGGAACCUUUAUUUCGGUAAAGGUGAGAGUGGCAAACGGGUGAGUAACACGUAGGCAACCUGCCGACAGGAUGGGGACAACAUUCCGAAAGGAAUGCUAAUACCGAAUGGAGUUCGAGGAUGGCAUCAUCCCCGGAUCAAAGAUGGCCUCUUAACAAUGCUAUCGCCUGUCGAUGGGCCUGCGUCUGAUUAGCCAGUUGGCGGGGUAACGGCCCACCAAAGCGACGAUCAGUAGCCGGUCUGAGAGGAUGAACGGCCACAUUGGGACUGAGACACGGCCCAGACUCCUACGGGAGGCAGCAGUGGGGAAUCUUCCACAAUGGGCGAAAGCCUGAUGGAGCAACGCCGCGUGAGUGAAGAAGGUCUUCGGAUCGUAAAGCUCUGUUGCACGGGACGAAAACCGAGCUUGAGAAUAUUGAGUUUGGGGACGUACCGAGCGAGAGCCCCG
Molecule: ribosomal RNA, 487 nt
Filed under: Selenomonas sputigena
Lineage: Bacteria; Bacillati; Bacillota; Negativicutes; Selenomonadales; Selenomonadaceae
Description: bacterial SSU rRNA
Rfam family: Bacterial small subunit ribosomal RNA
Source: RNAcentral